Molecule: transfer RNA, 76 nt
Filed under: Candidatus Pantoea carbekii
Lineage: Bacteria; Pseudomonadati; Pseudomonadota; Gammaproteobacteria; Enterobacterales; Erwiniaceae
Description: tRNA-Arg
Source: RNAcentral
AUGCGCCCGACAGGAUUCGAACCUGAGACCUUUGCCUUCGGAGGGCAGUGCUCUAUCCAUCUGAGCUACGGACGCA